CAGUCGCCGCGGUAAUACGUAGGGUGCAAGCGUUAAUCGGAAUUACUGGGCGUAAAGCGUGCGCAGGCGGUUAUAUAAGACAGAUGUGAAAUCCCCGGGCUCAACCUGGGAACUGCAUUUGUGACUGUAUAGCUAGAGUACGGCAGAGGGGGAUGGAAUUCCGCGUGUAGCAGUGAAAUGCGUAGAUAUGCGGAGGAACACCGAUGGCGAAGGCAAUCCCCUGGGCCUGUACUGACGCUCAUGCACGAAAGCGUGGGGAGCAAACAGGAUUAGAUACCCCUGUAGUCCCUGUCUCUUAUAC
This 301-nucleotide ribosomal RNA is filed under the name uncultured bacterium. RNAcentral's name for it is "partial 16S ribosomal RNA". It matches the Rfam family "Bacterial small subunit ribosomal RNA", at positions 509 to 807 of the family's 1533-position model. The record is from RNAcentral.